UCCACUUUACAAGCUAAUUAUCAGAAAUUAACCCAUCGAGAUUACGAAUUCGGGAUUUCGAGAGAGGAAUUAAAAACAAAUCUCAAACAUCAAUGGAAAGAAACACUAAUCAGAAAACUCAUCAAAAUAAAAUCCCUAGGCAAGAUUUGAUUCUUCCCAUAUAACCCUUUUGUGCAGAAAAAUAAACCAUUGAUUUUGUCAUUGUACUUGUUAAGCUUAUAUUAUAGUAGUAAAGUACUACCAUUAACUUCUAGCUAUAAAUUCUAUAGUACACUGAAUAAAUGAUAUAUAAUGAACAAAAC
RNAcentral lists this long non-coding RNA (302 nucleotides) under Panax ginseng (ginseng). Its description in RNAcentral is "long non-coding RNA (PGIN_LNC015180)". The record is from RNAcentral. Lineage: Eukaryota; Viridiplantae; Streptophyta; Magnoliopsida; Apiales; Araliaceae.